CCCCAUCUCUAAAGGAAGUGCCCAAGGAGCAUAUAGUAGGCUGAACUUCUUGUUGUCUCUCCUAAGGUGUUCCUUCUAAUGGGCCCUGCUCAGGCAUCUAAUCUCAGUGUCCCAAACCUUUCAGGCAGGAAACGGUGCUACAGUGGAUCAGGGUAUCAAGGCAGUUGCUGAGACUGGCCUUGAGGAUCCUGAAGCAGCAGGCUGUACACAUACACCCAGAGGUGCUCGAGUGGUUCAAUGGUAGAAUUCUCAUCUGCCAAAUACACCACACAGCUAGGCCACCAGUCAUCCAGAAAGCUCAUCUCAACUCCUUUGAAGGAAUCUGGGCCAAGAUGGUGCUUGGGCUCCAUCACCACUGGGAGCUGGGGAGCAGUUUGGAUCCCACAAGAAGGCUAGCUGGAGCAAGCCGCCUCGGUCCAGGCUGCAUAUCUCAUAAAGCUGUUCCCAAGGCAAGAACCAUCUGUACCUCCUUUGUUGUCCUUUGUCCUUUAUUUUCCCUGUCAAAGACACCCCCAACACACACACAACACACACCCAUGGCAAAGAACAGCUGAGCCAGGAGAAGCUGAAGAAAACAGCUUUUUAUUUGUUACUAUAAGAACCAAUUACAGAAUCCGAGGUUAAAAAAACGGACAAAAGAUCUUUAUUUCUGAGAACUGGCGUACAAAAGGCGGAGGGGGAGGGGAGGGAAGGAAAGAGCGAGCAUGGCCUGGGGUUGAUGCCAGCUUAGGGGCCUCAAACUCCAAUUAGGAUAGUCCGGACACCGGACAGAAAGAGAAACCCCCAAUUAGGAAAAAAAAAAAAGACAUGGCAGUGCACGCCCCCCUCCCCCAACCAGGUACCACCACCUGUUAUCUGUUUACUCUUCCCCUCCCCAUCCCCUUUCACAAAGGGAGGCAAAAUUUUUAAAAAAU
This is a non-coding RNA of Macaca mulatta (Rhesus monkey), 914 nucleotides long. The record is from RefSeq and is a predicted model, not a curated record. Lineage: Eukaryota; Metazoa; Chordata; Mammalia; Primates; Cercopithecidae.